UAGCAAUGGGUCUGAAAACACAACUCACGACAAACAGAAUGACGAUACAGAUCUUCCCACCGAUGCUGUGACUGAACCUGAAUCUAUUACUGAGCUGUCAGCUGAGCACGAGCAGAAGGUCUAUUCACGCGUAGAGAAAGUGAUGAUUAUAGAUUUAACCAGGCAGAAGUUGGAAAGUACCAAGUAUAACAAUGAAGGGGACAUCAACUUGCAUCGG
Molecule: long non-coding RNA, 217 nt
Organism: Bombina bombina (fire-bellied toad)
Lineage: Eukaryota; Metazoa; Chordata; Amphibia; Anura; Bombinatoridae
Exons: 3
Source: RefSeq, a predicted model, not a curated record